GCGUUCCGUGAAUCUCACUAAGUUGAGUACGGUCUCUGCUCCAGUUCUCUUGCUCGAGGCCUCCCAUCACAUAUCAGAUGUCGUUUUUCGAAUCUUCGGCCAGGUCAUCUUGCGAGCCACUCUCAAGCUCAUAAGUGGAGCAAAGCAAUCGAAUCAUUCCAGAGUUUCAUCCACGGAUUUAGUCGGUUGGAAUGGAGGUGGAUAUGCUCAUCCUUCAUUUGAAAUUUCAAGGGCAGACACCAAAUUGUGAGGAAUUUGAUUUUCUUGGAUUCGUGGCUAAACAGCACAAGGAAUCCACCAGCUACUGAAGAAAGGGAGCCGCCUUUUGGUGGCAAUGUAAAGUCACUUUGGGCUUCGACGGGCCAGCUAGCUAAUAUAGCAUAGGUCGUUUCUUGCAGAUGGCCAUGUACUUAGUGCCACAGAAGCACUCGGUAUUAAGAAAGUUAUGAGACUCUUUUAUCGAACAGUGAGUCAGGAAUGAUGUAUUGCGAUGGAUGAGAAUUGAAAACAAUAUUUACGAUUGGGGUUUGACCGGAGGCCAAUACCAACAGGAAAUACUGAUUCCCUAAAGUUAUUAUACCUUAUUUUUUGCCAACGGAAUAUCAAGGCCGUGUUUCAAGUGAAAAUGGACUAGACUGAGUCUCCAGAUGGUUGGGCAUUUAAAUAUCCUG
This 671-nucleotide small RNA is filed under the name Histoplasma ohiense. Its description in RNAcentral is "hypothetical lncRNA". Lineage: Eukaryota; Fungi; Ascomycota; Eurotiomycetes; Onygenales; Ajellomycetaceae. The record is from RNAcentral.